UUGAACCACAUGGCCUCGGAUUUACUGAGC
This 30-nucleotide small RNA is filed under the name Bombyx mori (domestic silkworm). RNAcentral's name for it is "ovarian small RNA-37612". Lineage: Eukaryota; Metazoa; Arthropoda; Insecta; Lepidoptera; Bombycidae. The record is from RNAcentral.